UGGGGAAUAUUGCACAAUGGGGGAAACCCUGAUGCAGCGACGCCGCGUGAGCGAAGAAGGCCUUCGGGUCGUAAAGCUCUUUUAUGAGGGAAGAUAAUGACGGUACCUCAAGAAAAAGCCCCGGCUAACUACGUGCCAGCAGCCGCGGUAAUACGUAGGGGGCUAGCGUUGUCCGGAAUCACUGGGCGUAAAGGGUUCGCAGGCGGAAUAACAAGUCAGAUGUGAAAGGCAUGGGCUCAACCCAUGUAAGCAUUUGAAACUGUAAUUCUUGAGAAGUGGAGAGGUAAGUGGAAUUCCUAGUGUAGCGGUGAGAUGCGUAGAUAUUAGGAGGAAUACCUGUGGCGAAGGCGACUUACUGGACACAAAUCUGACGCUGAGGAACGAAAGCGUGGGUAGCAAACAGG
Molecule: ribosomal RNA, 404 nt
Filed under: Verrucomicrobiota bacterium
Lineage: Bacteria; Pseudomonadati; Verrucomicrobiota
Description: Verrucomicrobia bacterium partial 16S ribosomal RNA
Rfam family: Bacterial small subunit ribosomal RNA
Source: RNAcentral